This 416-nucleotide ribosomal RNA is filed under the name Rhyzopertha dominica (lesser grain borer). RNAcentral describes it as "partial large subunit ribosomal RNA". The record is from RNAcentral. Lineage: Eukaryota; Metazoa; Arthropoda; Insecta; Coleoptera; Bostrichidae.
CGCCUGUUUUACAAAAACAUGUCUUUUUGAUUAUAUUUUAAAGUCUGGCCUGCCCAAUGAUUAAUUAAAUGGCCGCGGUAUUUUAACCGUGCAAAGGUAGCAUAAUCAUUAGUUUUUUAAUUGAAAGCUGGAAUGAAUGGUUUGACAAGGGGAGUUUUGUCUCAUUCUUUAUUUUUUGAAUUUUAUUUUUGAAUUAAAAAGUUCAAAUUUUUUUGAAAGACGAGAAGACCCUAUAGAGUUUAAUAUUUUUUGGUUAAUAAUUUAUUUAGGAUUUUUCUUUUAUUAAUUAAAAAUUAUUUUGUUGGGGUGAUGGGAAUAAUUUGACAAACUUUUCUUUUAUUUUUAUAUUUAUUUAUAUUUUAUUGAUUCAAUUUUUUUUGAUUAUAAGUUAAAAUUACCUUAGGGAUAACAGCGUA